UCUCUACGGGGCCUAGAUCCACGGACUU
This 28-nucleotide non-coding RNA is filed under the name Bombyx mori (domestic silkworm). The record is from RNAcentral. Lineage: Eukaryota; Metazoa; Arthropoda; Insecta; Lepidoptera; Bombycidae.